GGGAAACUGCCUGAUGGAGGGGGAUAACUACUGGAAACGGUAGCUAAUACCGCAUAACGUCGCAAGACCAAAGUGGGGGACCUUCGGGCCUCAUGCCAUCAGAUGUGCCCAGAUGGGAUUAGCUGGUAGGUGGGGUAACGGCUCACCUAGGCGACGAUCCCUAGCUGGUCUGAGAGGAUGACCAGCCACACUGGAACUGAGACACGGUCCAGACUCCUACGGGAGGCAGCAGUGGGGAAUAUUGCACAAUGGGCGCAAGCCUGAUGCAGCCAUGCCGCGUGUGUGAAGAAGGCCUUCGGGUUGUAAAGCACUUUCAGCGGGGAGGAAGGCGGUGAGGUUAAUAACCUCACCGAUUGACGUUACCCGCAGAAGAAGCACCGGCUAACUCCGUGCCAGCAGCCGCGGUAAUACGGAGGGUGCAAGCGUUAAUCGGAAUUACUGGGCGUAAAGCGCACGCAGGCGGUCUGUCAAGUCGGAUGUGAAAUCCCCGGGCUCAACCUGGGAACUGCAUUCGAAACUGGCAGGCUAGAGUCUUGUAGAGGGGGGUAGAAUUCCAGGU
This 559-nucleotide ribosomal RNA is filed under the name uncultured bacterium. Its description in RNAcentral is "bacterial SSU rRNA". It matches the Rfam family "Bacterial small subunit ribosomal RNA", at positions 120 to 674 of the family's 1533-position model. The record is from RNAcentral.